Molecule: transfer RNA, 65 nt
Filed under: Dipodomys ordii (Ord's kangaroo rat)
Lineage: Eukaryota; Metazoa; Chordata; Mammalia; Rodentia; Heteromyidae
Rfam family: tRNA
About the family: Transfer RNA (tRNA) molecules are approximately 80 nucleotides in length. Their secondary structure includes four short double-helical elements and three loops (D, anti-codon, and T loops).
Source: Rfam by way of RNAcentral
GGUGGCUCAGUGGCAGAGCGCUUGCCUUGCAUGCAUGAGACCCUGGGUUCAAUUCCUCAGCACCA